This 84-nucleotide ribosomal RNA is filed under the name Merdimmobilis hominis. Lineage: Bacteria; Bacillati; Bacillota; Clostridia; Eubacteriales; Oscillospiraceae. The record is from RNAcentral.
GACGGUGUCGAUGGCGGUGAGGAUCCACCUGUUCCCAUCCCGAACACAGAAGUUAAGCUCACUAGCGUCGAAAAUACUUGGCUG